GUAGAUAUAGCUCAAUCGGUAGAGUAGCUAUUUGUGGCAUAGUCAGUCCCGGUUCAAGUCCGGGUUUCUACC
Molecule: transfer RNA, 72 nt
Filed under: Fusarium nygamai
Lineage: Eukaryota; Fungi; Ascomycota; Sordariomycetes; Hypocreales; Nectriaceae
Also listed under: 3 other names
Rfam family: tRNA
About the family: Transfer RNA (tRNA) molecules are approximately 80 nucleotides in length. Their secondary structure includes four short double-helical elements and three loops (D, anti-codon, and T loops).
Source: Rfam by way of RNAcentral